Molecule: non-coding RNA, 700 nt
Organism: Physcomitrium patens
Lineage: Eukaryota; Viridiplantae; Streptophyta; Bryopsida; Funariales; Funariaceae
Source: RefSeq, a predicted model, not a curated record
UUGGCCUUUUCUUGGGCUCGCUCAGUGGAUGGCUAGUAACACUUCCAACACCUUCCAGGAUGACACUUGCAAAACUCUCUAGAAAGCUCUUACUUCAUCGAGCAUGAAUAUGCGGAGUUAUUUUUAAGUUCACGGAGGAAAUCAAGCACGGUGGGUCUUUUUUGAUGGAAUGAUCACCGUAUGAAGUGGUAAAGGCAAUGCUUGGUCAUGUUUUUCCCACUAAAAACUUCAAACGCUGCGUUUUCAAUAUGAUGAGCGACGGGACGAUGGUGUGCAUACGGAUUGAAACUGUCGUGUUACGAUUUUGCAGGCACGAGAUGCAUUUUUCAAGUGUCUGGAAGCUGAUUUUGAGCACCUGACAUCGACAGACACCGAUUCUGUGAAACUCCUCUACCCUUCACGGUGCAAACCUGCUCGGGCGUUCCUCGAGCAGAAUUGUCGACGGCCAUGGGUGAAGCAUUUUGACCGUCGAUUUUACGCUAAGCGGAGGGUGAAGCAUCCGGUAGACACGGGUGACAAGCAACAUUACCUUCGAAUAAAAUUGAUUUGCAACCCGGGAGAUACUAAAGCAGCCAAUGCUUACUAGUAAACUGCUUUUUACAUUUUAUUUAAAUACAAAUAAAAAUAAAAAGAAAUUCAUAGCUGUCUCGUGGCUUAUAAAUGCACAUACAAGGACAAACUAGCUGUGAGCAUGCAUGAG